This 264-nucleotide ribosomal RNA is filed under the name uncultured bacterium. RNAcentral describes it as "partial 16S ribosomal RNA". It matches the Rfam family "Bacterial small subunit ribosomal RNA", at positions 524 to 783 of the family's 1533-position model. The record is from RNAcentral.
UACGGAGGGUGCGAGCGUUGUCCGGAAUCACUGGGCGUAAAGGGCGCGUAGGCGGCGCGGGAAGUCCGUGGUGAAAGCCCGAGGCUCAACUUCGGGUCGGCCAUGGAUACUCCUGGGCUUGAGCACUGUAGAGGCAGGUGGAAUUCCGGGUGUAGCGGUGGAAUGCGUAGAGAUCCGGAAGAACACCGGUGGCGAAGGCGGCCUGCUGGGCAGUAGCUGACGCUGAGGCGCGAAAGCCAGGGGAGGCGGAAACGGGGAUUAGAA